Molecule: ribosomal RNA, 156 nt
Filed under: Orbilia oxyspora
Lineage: Eukaryota; Fungi; Ascomycota; Orbiliomycetes; Orbiliales; Orbiliaceae
Also listed under: 2 other names
Description: Dactylella oxyspora 5.8S ribosomal RNA
Rfam family: 5.8S ribosomal RNA
About the family: 5.8S ribosomal RNA (5.8S rRNA) is a component of the large subunit of the eukaryotic ribosome.
Source: RNAcentral
AACUUUCAACAACGGAUCUCUUGGUUCUCGCAUCGAUGAAGAACGCAGCGAAACGCGAUAGUUAAUGUGAAUUGCAGAAUUCAGUGAAUCAUCGAGUCUUUGAACGCACAUUGCGCCCAUAGGUAUUCCUUUGGGCAUGUCUGUUUGAGCGUCAUU